AUGUUGCGCUCUGCUUGGCCGUUCCUGCCUCACUCUACCCCUAAGCUCGGAAUCGGGUCCUCUCACGGUCACUGUGGGACGCGCAGUGCGGUUCGGCUGUGCUCCUGGCCGCUCCUGCGCCCGCCGCAGGCACGCACGGCCCCGAGCCCAGCUUUGCGGCCAGGCCUGCCCUGCCGCCCCGCACCACCGCCUGGUCCCGGCCGCGGGCGGGCUCCGUGCACCUGUGCCUCCGCAGCACGGCUACCAGAGCCACGGCCGCCGCUCGGACCGGAACGCCAGCGGGGAGCGGAGACUCGUCUCCCAACGGGCCGCCCGCCACUGAGGGGCGGCUCUCGGGGUCCCGCGGCGCGGCGCCCCCCUGCUCCCGCCCACCAUUUUCUUUCAGACGGGCACCGGAGUGGCGAAGCGGCGGGCGGGCGGCCGCCUCCGUCUCCCUCCCCUUCUCCUCAGAUGCCCUUUGCAGCCGCUGCCGCAGGGUUAUUAUUACAAAGCAGCGCUGGCAACCAAAUCCUAGCCCGAGAGAGAGGGAGAGAGAGGGAGACUUUCCCCCAGCCACCCCCACCCCCUUUUUUCUCCACGGCUGCACUUUGGAAGAGAUCAUGUAGAAAGGACAGAAAGUGA
This 621-nucleotide long non-coding RNA is filed under the name Coturnix japonica (Japanese quail). RNAcentral describes it as "lncRNA (ENSCJPG00005009631.1)". The record is from RNAcentral. Lineage: Eukaryota; Metazoa; Chordata; Aves; Galliformes; Phasianidae.